RNAcentral lists this ribosomal RNA (497 nucleotides) under uncultured bacterium. RNAcentral describes it as "partial 16S ribosomal RNA". It matches the Rfam family "Bacterial small subunit ribosomal RNA", at positions 28 to 507 of the family's 1533-position model. The record is from RNAcentral.
GAUGAACGCUGGCGGCGUGCCUAAUACAUGCAAGUCGAGCGAACGGACGAGAAGCUUGCUUCUCUGAUGUUAGCGGCGGACGGGUGAGUAACACGUGGAUAACCUACCUAUAAGACUGGGAUAACUUCGGGAAACCGGAGCUAAUACCGGAUGAUAUUUUGAACCGCAUGGUUCAAAAGUGAAAGACGGUCUUGCUGUCACUUCUAGAUGGAUCCGCGCUGCAUUAGCUAGUUGGUAAGGUAACGGCUUACCAAGGCAACGAUGCAUAGCCGACCGGAGAGGGUGGUCGGCCACACUGGAACUGAGACGCCGUCCAGACUCCUACGGGAGGCAGCAGUAGGGAAUCGUCCGCAAUGGGCGAAAGCCUGACGGAGCAACGGCGCGUGAGUGAUGAAGGUCUUCGGAUCGUAAAACUCUGUUAUUAGGGAAGAACAUAUGUGUAAGGAACUGUGCACAUCGUGACGGUACCUAAUCAGAAAGCCACGGCUAACUACGUG